Molecule: small nuclear RNA, 134 nt
Organism: Mus pahari (shrew mouse)
Lineage: Eukaryota; Metazoa; Chordata; Mammalia; Rodentia; Muridae
Product: U11 spliceosomal RNA
Exons: 1
Source: RefSeq, a predicted model, not a curated record
AAAAAGGGCUUCUGUUGUGAGUGGCACACACAGGGCAACUUGAUUGCUCUGUGUGCGGAAUCAAUAUCAAGAGAUUUCAGAAUCAUAAUUUUUUGGUAUUUGGGCAGCUGGUGAUUGUUGGUCCUGGCACCUGU